This is a long non-coding RNA of Frieseomelitta varia, 307 nucleotides long. RefSeq lists it as uncharacterized. The transcript has 2 exons. The record is from RefSeq and is a predicted model, not a curated record. NCBI's taxonomy places the organism in Eukaryota, Metazoa, Arthropoda, Insecta, Hymenoptera, Apidae.
AAACUUACCGAAAUUAAUUGAUGCAAUACGAUCUGAAAUAAAUCGUAGCCAAAAUUUUACUUGUUGAAGUUGUAUAGUGAGUGGCUCUCUAAGACUGACUGUAAUAAGGUGUACAGCAGGUUGUUGAAAAAAGUAACUGAGACACAGCCUCAACACAGCCUCGUUUAACGGCACUAAUCAUUGCUCCACCAAGACCUUGAGAGGCUUCUGAUUCCUACAGAAGAACAAAUAAGUUAUUUUGAUCAGUAUUAUAUUAUUAUAUUAUUUUAUAUUAUGAUCAAUUAUACUACAAUACACAAUUACAAAA